UCGGAAGGCAGCAGUGGGGAAUAUUGCACAAUGGGCGCAAGCCUGAUGCAGCCAUGCCGCGUGUAUGAAGAAGGCCUUCGGGUUGUAAAGUACUUUCAGUCGUGAGGAAGGUGUUAAGGUUAAUAACCUUAGCAAUUGACGUUAGCGACAGAAGAAGCACCGGCUAACUCCGUGCCAGCAGCCGCGGUAAUACGGAGGGUGCGAGCGUUAAUCGGAAUUACUGGGCGUAAAGGGCACGCAGGCGGUUAAUUAAGUUGGAUGUGAAAUCCCCGGGCUUAACCUGGGAAUGGCAUUCAAGACUGGUUAGCUAGAGUCUUGUAGAGGGGAGUAGAAUUCCAUGUGUAGCGGUGAAAUGCGUAGAGAUGUGGAGGAAUACCGGUGGCGAAGGCGGCCCCUGGGACAAAGACUGACGCUCAUGUGCGAAAGCGUGGGGAGCAAACAGGAUUAGAUACC
RNAcentral lists this ribosomal RNA (453 nucleotides) under uncultured bacterium. RNAcentral describes it as "bacterial SSU rRNA". It matches the Rfam family "Bacterial small subunit ribosomal RNA", at positions 341 to 786 of the family's 1533-position model. The record is from RNAcentral.